UACCUCCCUAUUCACUAGUUUCCUAUCUUGAGCAGAACCAGUAUAAAAUAUGGUCGCUGGAGUCGUAGAAAACCUGCCAGUCAGUGCAGUCAAAGCAUCCCUGCAGGCAUAACUUGCUCUCCUCUGUCCUCCACUUUACUGUCUUCACCACUGGCUUAAAUUUCCUACACACUGCCUUAUAAACCGGUGUCAGAAAAAUGCUGUUAUGAUACGACGCUCCAAGAGAUGGCAAACACAGAGAUUUAUAAGCGCCAGACAGAGCCGUAGCACAAGUCGAUCAUGGAACUGCUUCGCGUGGUCGAGCAUGACACAUAUUGCUCAUAAUUUCUGAGUACCCCACUCAACCGGCAGUGAUUGAAGUCACCGAGGAUAAAAUGGGGAGCGUCCGGGCAUAUGGCUGCUAACUUGAGUGACACCUCUGUAAUCAAGUGAGCGGCAGACUUGGCACUGGCGCGGGGAUGGAUGUACACGUGUGAAGAACAGCUGAGGAAAUUCCCUCGGGAGGUAGGACGGUGGGAGAUGGAUAAAAGCUCUAGAUCAGUGGUACAUUUUCUCUCCCUGACCACAAUGGUGUUACAAUACCGCUCGUUCACAUAGAAACACACGCCUCCACCGGUGGAUUUCUUGGUGAUACUGGGAGAUCUGUCCAUACGGAUUGGAUAACCAAACCCGCUGAUGAAUAAAUCAUUGCUGUGGUCAGCCUCACUCAGCCAAGUCUCUGUAAAAGCAAGGAGACACGUCUUUGCAUGCAUGUUUUUAAAUGAUGGUUAUAUAGUUCGUCAGAAAUUAAAAAAAAACUCUUCCAAACUGACCUACAAACAACAAUUGGAAAUAAACUUUCCUAGGUGACAGGCCGACGUUGAAUAUUAAUUAAUAAAUAAAAAAAUUUAAAUUUAACUCGCUGUUAACGGGCAACGCUUGCUGUAGUAGUUCUAGUGUCUUUUCUCAAACGAUGGGCAAUAUGCAUGUAUAUUUUUGUGAAAGACCAACUUACCUUCCCCGCGGGCUUUUGAUAUGUUAGUUACCUGAAGUCUCGUCAGGUAUUUAGCAUGCCGUUCGAAUUUGUCCUUAACAUUCUUAUCGUUUAGUAGCAUCGGUGAAAUUGUACAAUCAUGGGUCUGGGGCGGUUGACUAUUUCCCAAGUCGAUGGGCCCGCUCAAUGUCCUCAGCACACCAUGAUUUUACAAUUCAUUUUCGCAAGGGGCCGCAUAAGAAAUUGGGGUGGUUUUAGAGGGCCGGACUAAUGUAGUUGUCGCGUGUCAGCGAUUGUGCUGUCAUCCUUGUAUGCCUCCCAUACUAAGCAGGCCCAUCGUUAGGUGUUUUCUUCACGCUUUUGCCGUCUUGCGCGCGCGCGCACAGCUUCUUCGACGCGUCAAUUUACUUUUUCCUUUUUUUACGUCAUGGGCAGUCGUCAUCAAGAAACAGAAGGUGCUGGACCGUGGCCAUGAGAAGCCAGAGUUUUUUAUUUUGUAUCGAACGAUCUGCCACAAGCCGUUUUGGGUGAGUAGAGACCCAUUCUUUCGGGUUCUACACCACUCUUGUCUGGGGCUUUGGGUGGAGAAGGAAGUGGAAGCAAAAGAAUCCUUUUAUGUUCAAAGCUAUAGUCCGAGGUUUGAUUGCAAGACAUACUUUGUUAGGUUAACGUUCGUGAUUACCGUUUGUCGUUUCCCGCUGUACGGAUUUGUAUAAGAUCAACAUUAGAAUUUGAGCGAAUCUUAUGAUUAGUCCGAUGGUCAGAUAUAUGUGUCGGUGUGAAAAUAUUGUGGUAGAAAUUGAGCAGUUUCGGGACGCGCCUGUUGAUUGUGAGAAUUGUUUUUAUCAGGCUUAUUUUUUGUUCUUCACUCUUCCACCUGUUGUUGUUUCUUCUUCGUGUCAGCGUGUCCGUCAUCGUGUCGAGCGUCCACCCUGCACCAUCAUCAUCAUCUCGUCGGCGCCUGAACUCGCGACCCUGCUGCACCAGUGUGCGGAAAGGCCUUGGACUGAAUACCCAGAGCAGGAAACUUCGAGCAGGAGCUUUCGUGGCCAGUUGCCGGCCCAUACCAUCGCAUCUGGACGAGAAGAUAGAGGGGUGGGGGUACAUCGUUAGAGCGGCAAGCAAGGCCAAAGGGUGCGCUGCCGUCUGUGGACACCUUCAACGGACUUCUAAACUGUCACCCCGCAGUGCAUGUGGGUGAUUGCAUGGGUGUAAUGUUCGUUAGUGUUUGCAACUAGGUGUAGAGGUAUAUCCGGGAUAAAGGUGUCAAUUCAA
Pomacea canaliculata is the source of this 2248-nucleotide long non-coding RNA. RefSeq lists it as uncharacterized. NCBI's taxonomy places the organism in Eukaryota, Metazoa, Mollusca, Gastropoda, Architaenioglossa, Ampullariidae. The record is from RefSeq and is a predicted model, not a curated record. The transcript has 2 exons.